GAUGAACGCUGGCGGCGUGCCUAAUACAUGCAAGUCGAGCGAACAGACGAGGAGCUUGCUCCUCUGACGUUAGCGGCGGACGGGUGAGUAACACGUGGAUAACCUACCUAUAAGACUGGGAUAACUUCGGGAAACCGGAGCUAAUACCGGAUAAUAUAUUGAACCGCAUGGUUCAAUAGUGAAAGACGGUUUUGCUGUCACUUAUAGAUGGAUCCGCGCCGCAUUAGCUAGUUGGUAAGGUAACGGCUUACCAAGGCGACGAUGCGUAGCCGACCUGAGAGGGUGAUCGGCCACACUGGAACUGAGACACGGUCCAGACUCCUACGGGAGGCAGCAGUUGGGAAUCUUCCGCAAUGGGCGAAAGCCUGACGGAGCAACGCCGCGUGAGUGAUGAAGGUCUUCGGAUCGUAAAACUCUGUUAUUAGGGAAGAACAAAUGUGUAAGUAACUAUGCACGUCUUGACGGUACCUAAUCAGAAAGCCACGGCUAACUACGUG
Molecule: ribosomal RNA, 497 nt
Filed under: uncultured bacterium
Lineage: Bacteria
Description: partial 16S ribosomal RNA
Rfam family: Bacterial small subunit ribosomal RNA
Source: RNAcentral